Long non-coding RNA from Bombina bombina (fire-bellied toad), 662 nucleotides. RefSeq lists it as uncharacterized. NCBI's taxonomy places the organism in Eukaryota, Metazoa, Chordata, Amphibia, Anura, Bombinatoridae. The record is from RefSeq and is a predicted model, not a curated record. The transcript has 5 exons.
CUGACUUCCUGUACACAAGCUUUUGAAAGGUUAAAAUUGCGCCAAAAAAAAUUGUGAGAUGUUUGUGUGUUUACCAGCUGGCUUGUUUGGAAUAUCUGUCCAGCUCAAAAAUGGCUCCAGCGGUUAGAAACAGGUGUUGGAUUGCAGAAUGGUUUUAUGGAAACUUCAAGCAUAUGACAGCUUAAUUUUCUUCCACAAGGCUGUGAGACCAGGUUGCAGCUGGCUUGUUUGGAAUAUCUGUCCAGCUCAAAAUGGCUCCAGUGGUUAGAAACAGGUGUUGGAUGGCAGAAUGGUUUUAUGGAAACUUCAAGCAUAUGACAGCUUAAUUUUCUUCCACAAGGCUAUGAAUCCCAGGUUGCAGGUGAUGCUAAAGUUCAGAUGUACAGCCAACACUUGGUAUCUAGUUCAUUGUCAAAAGAAAUGUCUUUACCUCCUUUGUUAAAACGGUUAAGAGAAAAUGGUUACCAGACUGAACACAGCAGUGGUGUUUAACAGCUGGAGUACGUCUGUUUUGUGCAACUUUGCUGCUCUCACAACUCGUGUACCCAUGGAAAAGGAUUGUCCUUGGCGUUCCUGUUUGAACUAUAAACCUGGCUAUUUAAUAAAAUGCUAAUAAAGUGUUUCUGAUAUCUGUUCUAUUAAUAAAGCUGUGACUGAUCUUA